CCGACGGUGAGGGGUGAAAGCUGGGGGAGCAAACCGGAUUAGAUACCCGGGUAGUCCCAGCCGUAAACGAUGUGCGUUAGGUGUAUCGGUGACCACGAGUCACCGAGGUGCCGAAGAGAAAUCGUGAAACGUACCGCCUGGGAAGUACGGUCGCAAGGCUGAAACUUAAAGGAAUUGGCGGGGGAGCACCACAACAAGUGGAGCCUGCGGUUUAAUCGGACUCAACGCCGGGAAACUCACCAGAUAAGACAGCUGAAUGAUAGUCGGGCUGAAGACUCUACUUGACUAGCUGAGAGGAGGUGCAUGGCCGUCGUCAGUUCGUACUGUGAAGCAUCCUGUUAAGUCAGGCAACGAGCGAGACCCACGCCAACAGUUGCU
Molecule: ribosomal RNA, 378 nt
Filed under: uncultured archaeon
Lineage: Archaea
Description: bacterial SSU rRNA
Rfam family: Archaeal small subunit ribosomal RNA
Source: RNAcentral